CCUAAAUCUGUUUGCUCUGUGACUGUGACCACUGUUACCAUUUAGUUUCGCCAACUAGAUCUUGAGCUAAAGAGAUGGAGCAGUUAGGCGGUCAGUUAAAUCAGCUUGUGUCCAACACAGGAAAGGAAGUGGACAAGAAAGGGAAGGAAGCCACAGGAGCAGUGAAUCAGGGCACCGGCCAAGUGCAGCAGGUCAUCGAGCAGGCUGUUGAUAAGGGUGCCGACGCUUUGAAAAAGGCAGGGACCAAAGUGGUUAACAACAUGAGCGGCAGUAUUCCAGGUAUCGGAAAGUGAUGGGUCAUCUCCAACUUCGAGCAGCAAUCAUCAUUACAAUUUUUCUGCAAGACUCAUGUUUGGAAAGAAAUUGGUCCUUUUUAACUGAAUAAAUGUCUCU
Molecule: long non-coding RNA, 393 nt
Organism: Mobula hypostoma (lesser devil ray)
Lineage: Eukaryota; Metazoa; Chordata; Chondrichthyes; Myliobatiformes; Myliobatidae
Exons: 3
Source: RefSeq, a predicted model, not a curated record